Molecule: long non-coding RNA, 639 nt
Filed under: Homo sapiens (human)
Lineage: Eukaryota; Metazoa; Chordata; Mammalia; Primates; Hominidae
Description: HSALNT0367353
Source: RNAcentral
CAGAGCACCUCUGAAAGGAAGAGGAGUUCCAAGAAAGUGAGGCAGGGAAGCAGUGGUAUGCCUUCUUCCUACUGAGACAGAAGUUAAGUAAGAGGCUUUGGGUCAAGACUGUGACUGGAUUCAAAUCCUAAAGUUUUCGCUACACUGUGUGCUGUGGAUACUAAAAAAUCUGCAACAAAGAGAUGAAGAUUAAGAAAAAUUGUCAAGAAGGAAGGAAAAUUGUACCUACCCCUCGAAGAAUUCAUGAGGUGCUUGAGCAGACUACUUUGACCUCUUCUCAAACCUGCUAAGUGUGGACACACAAUAAAAGCACUUUUGGUGCAGAUAAACUGGAGAAGGGGCCUGUUUGUAUAGUUUUCUUUGAGGAAAUAUUCCCUGCAGGAAGUAUGCAGCAAAGAGAAAGGCUCAUAUGACAGAAUAUGUUAAAGCACAUUUUCUUUUUAUCUCUUUGCACAUCCCCACUUUGCCACCCACUUUAGCCCCUACCUACUCAAUCUCCUAUGUCACAAUUCCAGGUGCACUCAUCAGCAUGCAAAAAUCACAUAUGAGGUGGAUAUAUUUUCAGAUGAAGAUGGAUAAAUCAAAUCUGCAAAUGGAUAAUGACAUGGGCAAGUCAUCAAUUUACACUUGUAAACAACU